Molecule: ribosomal RNA, 646 nt
Filed under: uncultured Alcaligenes sp.
Lineage: Bacteria; Pseudomonadati; Pseudomonadota; Betaproteobacteria; Burkholderiales; Alcaligenaceae
Description: partial 16S ribosomal RNA
Rfam family: Bacterial small subunit ribosomal RNA
Source: RNAcentral
UAGUNNUNNGGGAUUAAUUUUCNNNUGGUUNACGCAGCUAACGNNGNAAGUAGACNGCNUGGGGAGUACGGUCGCAAGAUUAAAACUCAAAGGAAUUGACGGGGNNCCGCACAAGCGGUGGAUGAUGUGGAUUNAUUCGAUGCAACGCGAAAAACCUUACCUACGCUUGACAUGUCUGGAAUCCUGUAGAGAUGCGGGAGUGCUCGAAAGAGAGCCAGAACACAGGUGCUGCAUGGCUGUCGUCAGCUCGUGUCGUGAGAUGAUGGGUUAAGUCCCGCAACGAGCGCAACCCUUAUCAUUAGUUGCUACGAAAGGGCACUCUAAUGAGACUGCCGGUGACAAACCGGAGGAAGGUGGGGAUGACGUCAAGUCCUCAUGGCCCUUAUGCGUAGGGCUUCACACGUCAUACAAUGGUCGGUACAGAGGGUCGCCAACCCGCGAGGGGGAGCCAAUCCCUUAAAACCGAUCGUAGUCCGGAUUGCAGUCUGCAACUCGACUGCAUGAAGUCGGAAUCGCUAGUAAUCGCGGAUUAGAAUGUCGCGGUGAAUACGUUCCCGGGUCUUGUACACACCGCCCGUCACACCAUGGGAGUGGGUUUUACCAGAAGUANGUAGCUUAACCAGCAAGGAGGGGCGCUUNNCCNCGG